RNAcentral lists this transfer RNA (74 nucleotides) under Mycoplasma mobile 163K. It matches the Rfam family "tRNA". Rfam says of the family: Transfer RNA (tRNA) molecules are approximately 80 nucleotides in length. Lineage: Bacteria; Bacillati; Mycoplasmatota; Mycoplasmoidales; Metamycoplasmataceae. The record is from Rfam by way of RNAcentral.
GGCUCUGUAGCUCAGCUGGUUAGAGCAUUCGGUUCAUACCCGAAAGGUCAAGAGUUCGACUCUCUUCGGAGCUA